AUGCACGCUGGCGGCGUGCCUAAUCCCUGCCAGUCGCGCGAACAGACGAGGAGCUUGCUCCUCUGACGUUAGCGGCGGCCGGGUGAGUAACACGUGGAUAACCUACCUAUAAGACUGGGAUAACUUCGGGAAACCGGAGCUAAUACCGGAUAAUAUAUUUAACCGCUUGGUUCGAUAGUGAAAGUCGGUUUUGUUGUCAUUUAUAGAUGGAUCCGCGCCGCAUUAGCUAGUUGGUAAGGUAACGGCUUACCAAGGCAACGAUGCGUAGCCGACCUGAGAGGGUGAUCGGCCGCACUGGAACUGGGACACGGUCCAGACGCCUACGGGAGGCAGCAGUAGGGAAUCUUCCGCAAUGGGCGAGAGCUUGACGGAGCAGGGCCGCGUGAGUGAUGAAGGUCUUCGGAUCGUAAAACUCUGUUAUUAGGGAAGAACAGAUGUGUAAGUAACUAUGCACGUCUUGACGGUACCUGGUCAGAAAGCCACGGCUAACUACGUG
This 496-nucleotide ribosomal RNA is filed under the name uncultured bacterium. Its description in RNAcentral is "partial 16S ribosomal RNA". It matches the Rfam family "Bacterial small subunit ribosomal RNA", at positions 29 to 507 of the family's 1533-position model. The record is from RNAcentral.